GGAAUGUCACUGCAAUUGUCAGAGAAGUGGGGUAGCUGUGUUCUCAUGGCAGCACCUCUUAAGAAAGAAGACAGAAGAAGAGCAGACUUAGUUCCUGUGUGGCAGCCCCCGUGGUGGGAAUUCCCAGCCUUGACCAUGGCACACUGGAAGAGGAACAUGGGUAACAAGGAACAUUUCCUGAAACUUGUUGCCAUUUAUAAGCAUACCAAAUGAGAAAGAAGAGGCGCUACUAGUAUGGAACUGGGGCAACAUCACAAAAUCAACAAGGAAAGCAUCUGAAAUAUCUGUAAAGGAAAAGGAUAAGGGAAGGAGGACAAUUCUUUACCAAGUUCAGUAAUACAAUAUGAAAGAGGGGCCAAAAAUUCAUAUUGAACAGGAACAAAAAUGUCUCUGAACCCCAAAAAAGUCAGCCUACAAGAAUAAAUUGAGAAAAUACUAAAGCUGGAACUAGAUCAAUAAGAUUCAGAAUGGGUUCUAGAUGCCGUCGUUUUUCUGUCAAGAGGCAUUAAAAGAAGAGAGUGAAUACUGUAGUGGACCUCCCAAGGCUCCUGCUUAGGACCAACGCUCUGGUUUCAGUUGUCAGAAGCACUGACUGCUGGUAGGCUGGCUGCAAACACAGUCAUCCCUGGAAAUCUCCCUCAGACAGAGAGCUGCCUCACCCAAGUGAGGCCCCUUCCUGAAGGACUGACAGAGACUGUUGCCAUCUGCAUUGAAGUGCAACUUCUUCCCUUGCCUCUUCCUAAUUUUCUCACUUCCACUCUUCCUCACAGCAUUCCCAAGUAAACUUCCUUCAUGUGAAUCUUGUCACCUCAGAGUAUGUUUUGCAGGGAACCAGAACAACGAUACCUCCCUCUUUACUCCUACCUGUGUCUUGGAACAUACACAGACUACAUGUUAACUCCAUGCACGGUUAAUUGCCAAAUGACUCACAGACCGUGCGACGUCAUCAUCAGGCUGCCUGGAGAGGAUGGGAAGGAUAAAACUUCUCACAAGUUAAUGGAGACAUAGACUCUUCUACUUUCUCAAUUGAAUUCAUUUCUCACAAAUGUCACCUGUAGUUAUUUAGAUCCAAGAAAACGUCAAAAAUGGAACUACAUAUUUGUAUGUAACAAAUGAUAGUUGGUCUUUAUUAUGACAUUUAUUCACACUUGUACGUAGAAAUGGGAAAUUGUCUCAAGGUUACAUAACUCAUGAGCUGGUACUCUUCAUCUCUUUCAUGAAGACAGAUGUUUUGGGAGAUUAGAAGCCAUGUAUCUCUGUUGUACCAGGUGCUGCAUAUCACCUUGUUUUAGUUAUACAUUAGAAUACUAUUGAAAACUCAUGACUCAAAUUGAUUUUGAUUUCUAAGAAAUGAUGAGGAGAACCUAAAAUUUAACCCAUUCAUUUUACCAUAAUUGAGUAUUUCUCAGAAUUUAAGCUCUUCCUCAUUAUCAGUUGUCUAUAUUUACAGGUUGUAAAACUUGAAAUACACAAGAUUUUCACAGGUGUAGGUACAAAACAGGCCAAAUUAUAAAACCAAAAGAGUUUAAAUGAACCUAUGUAAUUUAAGGUAAAUAAUUUUAUUACCUGUUUUACCUUGGUAGUGUAUAUUGUGUGUAUUGUACAUUCCACUUUUAUAUCUCUAUAAAGACAAUAUCUUUCCUACAUAUUAAUGUAGGUAAAUAGCUAAUGUUAUACAGAGUUCAGGAGGAAUUAGAUUAUUAGAUUUCCUCCCUUGUGGAUUGUCUUAAUCUGCUGAGGCUGCUAUAACAAAUACCAUGGAAUGGGUAUCUUAAAUAAUAGAAACUGAUUUCUCACAAUUCUGGAAGGCCGCAAUCAGGGUGCCAACAUGGCUGGGUUGUGGGUUGUGCCCUUUUAUUGGUUUGUAAACAGUAUCUUCUUUUUGGAUCUUCACAUGAUGGGGGGGCAGGAAGCAAACUCUUUGUGUCUCUUGGGGUUUUUUUUGUUUGUGUUUGUUUUUGUUUUUUGUUUCAUUUUUUUUUUUGUUUUUUGGGUUUUUCUGUUUUUGAGGGCCGCAGGUGUGGCAUAUGGAAGUUCCCAGGCUAGGGAUCUGAGCCGUGUCUGCAACCUACACCACAGCUCACCACAACUGAGCAAGGCCAGUGAUUGAACCCACAUCUUCAUGGAUACUAGUUGGGUUCCUUACUGCUGAGCCACAGCAGGAACUCUCUUGUAAAAAAGGUGUUAAUCCCAUCAUGAGGGCUCUACCCCCAUGAGCUAAUUACUUCCCAAAGGUUCCAUCUCCAAAUAUCAUUACAUCCGCAUUAAGACUUCAACAAAGGAAUUUAGUGGGGAGACACAAAUAUUCAAUUCUUAUUUUUCACACCUAAUCAAAGAAGUACAAAUUAUGCAAUCAAAACUUAAAACUGAGUAGUUUAUAUUGUCCAUAGAAUUUUAAGAGUUUAAAUCAGAAUGGAGCUUGCAUUUACAAAACAGGUAACAAAGCCCUUUGUUACCAUCAUUUCAAAAUGUAGAUAAGAAUUGUAUUUCUUAUUGGCUGCUUUUAACUUUGUUGAAGGUACAUUAAAUUAUGUUAAUGCGUCAGUGGGGAUAUAUUUUGCCUUCACUUUACUACCCAUUGAACAAUUGCUUUAUUUUUACAGAAUUACAGAUAGGAAUGGAAAAUAGGCACCCCAUAAACUAGAGAAGUACUUGAGAGUAACCCCUUGGAAUAACCAAGGAAAGAAGAGCUAGAAAGAGUGGAGGUAUUAAAUUAUAGGAUAUUUUCAGAGAAAUACAAUGUUUGAAAAAACUGCAAGUGCCUGAGACAAUUCAAACUAAUCGAUGAACUACCAUAAUAGUGGUUCUUAUGAGAUUUGGUUUAAUGUCUAGAAGAAAAUUAUCUAAAAUUAGCAUAUCAGUUAUUUGCAGGUAAACAGAUGUUUUAUUUCUGCAGCUUGAGGGUGUUCAAAAACAAUUUGUUUACUGAAAUAACUUAUAAAUCUUCCUCCAGCAAUCUUAUUUUAUUUUAUGAAUUAACCUGGAUAUAUUAAUGCAAAGUUUGCAGAGUUCCUGUUGUGGCUCAGUGAGUUAAGAACCUGAUAUACCUUCUGUGAGAAUGUGGGUUCGAUCCCUGGCCUCGCUUGGUGGGUUAAGGAUCCAGCACUGCUAUGGCUAUGGCAUGGGCUGGCAGCUGCAGCUUUGAUCCGACCCCUAUGCUCCAGGUGUGGGCUUAGAAAAAUUAAUUAACUAACUAAUUAAAGCAAAGUUUGCCACACACUCCCCUCCUGGGUGCCGCACCUUCCAUUUAGCUAAGCCACAAAUCUGUACAUUUGUGGUAUUAACUGCUAGCCUUCUCCCUCAUCUUUGUUAUCUGAAAGACAAGAUUAUGCUUUUUCAUUUAAUAAGUGCUGCUUCUAUCAAAAUAAGUUUUGUCAUUAAAAUACUUAAAUAUUACUAUCAAAAUAUUUAAUCAUAAACAAGAUUUGAAAAGACUGUCUAAAUAGAAUAUGAUAUUUUCCCGACUAUAUUUUACAUCUUAUGAAUAGUUAUUUGAUCCAAUCUUAGCAUUGCCGGGAAUAGAGUUGUUCAGAAGCAGGGUGGACUCCUAACAGGGACAACAUCUCAAAACUUGUCCUUGACACUCGGCCAGGCACAUUUACCACCAGCAAUCCCUAAGACAGAACAAGGAAGAAGAAUCAUCACUACAGACAGUACGUUUGGUUAAGAGGAUAUGUUAAACAGAAAAAUGAUUUCUGUCUUCAAAAGAGUUAAAAAGGAGUUUCUUCUCAAAAUAGUUAUUAACAGUCUUAAACCUCAUUAAAUGUUUUCAAAUGAUUACAAAUUCUCAAUUUAAAACUGGGCAAGCCUUAAAGGUUUUUAUGGCUGUACAUAGUUUAGAAAAGGCAAUGAUCAGCUCAGUGUGUCUUCAUGUAGCUAAGUGACUCCUCAUAAUUAUUCAAAAGGAUGACCUGGUUCAGAACUUGGGCUCUGGAGCCAGAGCAUCUGAGUUCAAAUCUUGACCUCACUACUUCCUAGCUGUGUGACGUUGCCAUUAGGUCAGUGAGCCAUUUACCUUGUGCCUCAGAUUCCUCACCUAAUAAAUGGAGAUGAUUACAGUUACACCUACCUCACAGAGUUAUGAAGAUUCAAUGUAUUAAUACAUAUAAAGCAAUUGGAAUGAUGCUUAGCACAAAAUUACCUACCCAGUUUCAUCAGUUAAUUUUUCCAUAUAGAAGCUAACUUAUAAAUUCCCCCAACUUUGUGUCCUAGUUUAGAUUCUCAUAUAAUCCAUUAUGUCGACAUGUAAUGUUGUUAAAGCUUCCUACCAUUGAAAAAAUGUGUAUAUAACAUCUGGACAUCAAAAAAAUGAGGUGAUUUUGUUAAAAGUUUGGUACUGUAAAGAAUUGUGACCUACUUUCUUUUGGUUUGUGAAGAGCCCAGCCUUUCGUACCUGAAGUUUUUUAGAACAUAAGAAACAUCACACUGAGUUGCACAUUCUCUCUCUGAUAGUGGUACCUAGAAGGCAGCCCCAGGGAUAACCUAGCUUCCCUCCAUAUGACCAAACUAAAGCCUUCAGGAAGGUACACCAAUGAUGUUGUAUUCCUUCCCUUGGACCCAUCAGGCAUCUCUCAUUCAUUUACGCCAAUCUUUAAAUCACAUGCCAUUUUUAAUCUAUCCCAAUCUAGAUGGGUGAGAAGCUAAAUACAUGUCUAUUUCUUUUUAUAUCUAACCUGAAAAUUACACUUUUAAUCUUCACUAAGCACCUUUUUGUUCUAAUUCCAUAGAUAAGGAAAUAAAGUAUAAAGCCAUGGCGGAUAUUUUGACUUAAUUCCUAGAGAACUUUAUUAAUCUGAUAAAGCCUGUAGGGGUGUUUUUGUUUUUUUUUUUUUUUCUGAAAAUCCAGUUAUGCUCAUGAUUUUCCUUAUUCAGAUCAGUGAAUUCUUCACCUGACCAAUGAAAAUGCUAAGACAUUUGCAGUUCAUUAUAAGAGAAGAAAUGGAUAUUUCCUGAGCAUAGUUUCUUAUUUUAUUUGCUACAAAUUGUCUAUUUGUACAUCAAUAUACUCUGAUUAGUUUGUUUAUGCCCUUGAGAUGUUACAUAAUUAAGUAUAUAAAAUGACUUAUUUUUACUUCCUUAAGGUAUAUGAUAACUAGAUUCAUAAAUUUAAAUUUUAAAGACUCAGUUUCAUUUAACAUGGAUUCCAGUAUUCCUGUAAGUAAAUAAUAAAUAGUAUUUAAUACCUAUAGCUAUACUUUAUAUCUGCAAUGGAGGAAAGCUGGUUAACACCUUUCCAUUAAUUUUAAAGAUGUGUUUUUUUAAAGAUGUGGUUUUUUAUAUUCACAAUAUAAAACAAGCAGCCCAUCCACCACUUUUUUCCUUUACAUGCAUAAAUCAAAUAAAUAGAGCUUUAAUACAUAUUAUUUAAGCAGAGCAUUAUUAGGCCAUACAUUUUUUUUUUCAAAAUCUUGUCUUGAAGAUAGUAUGACAAAAGUUAUAACUCUACAAUUAUACCUGAGGAAUUCACCAAGGAGAAAUGGAAAUAUAUGUCCACACAAAGACUUGCAUGUGAAUAUUCAUGGCAGUGUUGUUUUUUAUUAAACAGAAAGUAGAAACAAUCCAAUGUCCAUCAACUGGUUGAAUGGUGAAAAAAAAUAUGAUCUAUCCAAGCAACAGCACACCAUUCAGCAAUAAAAAGACCUGCUAUGUAGCACAGGGAACUCCAUUCAAUACUGUGCAAAGAAUCUGAAAAAGAUAUGUACAUGUAUAACUGAAUCACUUUGCUGUACACCUGAAACUAACACAACCUUGUAAAACAGCUGUACACUAAUAAAUUUUUUUAAAAUAGUAAUGAAGUGAUGAUACACGCUACAACAUAGAUAAGCCUGAAAAAUACUAUGCUAAAUGAAAAAGAGCCAUAUGCAAAAACCAUGUAUCACAUGAUUCCAUUUAUAAGAAAUGCCCAGAAAAGGGAGAUCUGUGAGAUAGAAAGUAGAUUAGUGAGUGGUUGUCUGGGCCAGGAGGUAAGAAUGAUAAGGGGUGACUGCAGAUGGGCCCAAGGGAUCUUUACGGGGUGCUGGAAAUAAUCUGGAAGGAGAUUGUAGUGAUGGUUGUUCAAGUCUGUACAUUUACUAAAAAAUGAUUAAAUGAUACAUUUAAAACAAGUAAAUGUGUGGUAUAUAAAUUACACCUCAAUAAAGCUGUUUAAAAAAAGAUAACAUGGAACAUCUGAAAAUGUCAAAGGGUCUGGCUGACUUUGUUUCCAUUAGCACAUGUACAGAUAGGCCUCAAAACUGCCCCCCCAAGGGCAGUAUACAGGUGAUUUUCAGUCACAUACUUGACCGAGCAGGAAAAAACACACAUGGAUUUCAAGUUUACAAUGUCCCAGUCCUAUUCUCUUCCCAGAUGUUGUGAUAAGAGUCAGUUGCCAAUAAGGAUAAAUAUAUUUUAUAUAGUUAGCUUAGAAAUGUGGUUUUUUAAGUAUGCCUAUAUCCUUGUAUAUUCAUAAACAAUUUUUGGAAGUUAUCUAGGAAACAUCAUAGUGGGUACAACUGGGAAAUGUAAGAGGAUUAAAUAGGGGGAAAAGGUUGUGGAUUCAUUCUUGUUAUUUGGUAGCUUUUUUUUUUUACUGUUUAAAUGCUUUAUUUGUUCAUGUACUACUUUGGUAAUUUAAAAAUGUUUAUAAAAAAGAAAUUUGUGGUUUUUUAUAAAAUGCUUAGUAUUAGUAAAAUUAUAAAUGAUGAAAUAGAUACUAUAGUAAUGAUGCCUAUAUAUGUAUACUUUCAGUAUUUUGUUAUUCAUGUCUUUUUAUACUUCCUGAGGAAAAAUGUUUUCAUUAAAAAAUUUCCUACAACAA
Molecule: long non-coding RNA, 6796 nt
Filed under: Sus scrofa (pig)
Lineage: Eukaryota; Metazoa; Chordata; Mammalia; Artiodactyla; Suidae
Description: lncRNA (ENSSSCG00030072935.1)
Source: RNAcentral